RNAcentral lists this ribosomal RNA (301 nucleotides) under uncultured bacterium. RNAcentral's name for it is "partial 16S ribosomal RNA". It matches the Rfam family "Bacterial small subunit ribosomal RNA", at positions 509 to 807 of the family's 1533-position model. The record is from RNAcentral.
CAGUAGCCACGGUAAUACAGAGGGUGCGAGCGUUAAUCGGAUUUACUGGGCGUAAAGCGUGCGUAGGCGGCUUUUUAAGUCGGAUGUGAAAUCCCUGAGCUUAACUUAGGAAUUGCAUUCGAUACUGGGAAGCUAGAGUAUGGGAGAGGAUGGUAGAAUUCCAGGUGUAGCGGUGAAAUGCGUAGAGAUCUGGAGGAAUACCGAUGGCGAAGGCAGCCAUCUGGCCUAAUACUGACGCUGAGGUACGAAAGCAUGGGGAGCAAACAGGAUUAGAGACCCCAGUAGUCCCUGUCUCUUAUAC